This is a non-coding RNA of Kordia algicida OT-1, 39 nucleotides long. NCBI's taxonomy places the organism in Bacteria, Pseudomonadati, Bacteroidota, Flavobacteriia, Flavobacteriales, Flavobacteriaceae. The record is from Rfam.
AAGGAGAAAGCCGAAAAGCCUUUUUAAAAAGAGUAGGUA